UACAGAGGGUGCAAGCGUUGUUCGGAAUUAUUGGGCGUAAAGAGCUCGUAGGCGGUCUGUCGCGUCGGAUGUGAAAAUCCAGGGCUCAACCCUGGACCUGCAUUCGAUACGGGCAGACUAGAGUUCGGCAGGGGGGACUGGAAUUCCUGGUGUAGCGGUGAAAUGCGCAGAUAUCAGGAGGAACACCGGUGGCGAAGGCGGGUCUCUGGGCCGAUACUGACGCUGAGGAGCGAAAGCGUGGGGAGCAAACAGG
Molecule: ribosomal RNA, 253 nt
Filed under: uncultured bacterium
Lineage: Bacteria
Description: partial 16S ribosomal RNA
Rfam family: Bacterial small subunit ribosomal RNA
Source: RNAcentral